RNAcentral lists this ribosomal RNA (253 nucleotides) under uncultured bacterium. Its description in RNAcentral is "partial 16S ribosomal RNA". It matches the Rfam family "Bacterial small subunit ribosomal RNA", at positions 524 to 776 of the family's 1533-position model. The record is from RNAcentral.
UACGAAGGGGACUGGCGUUGUUCGGAAUCACUGGGCGUAAAGCGCACGUAGGCGGAUUUGUAAGUCAGGGGUGAAAUCCCGGGGCUCAACCUCGGAACUGCCUUUGAUACUGCGAAUCUUGAGUCCGAUAGAGGUGGGUGGAAUUCCUAGUGUAGAGGUGAAAUUCGUAGAUAUUAGGAAGAACACCUGCGGCGAAGGCGGGUAGCUGGGCCGACACUGACGCUGAGGCGCGAAAGCCAGGGGAGCGAACGGG